UGGGGAAUCUUGCGCAAUGCGCGAAAGCGUGACGCAGCAACGCCGCGUGAGGGAAGACGGCUUUCGGGUUGUAAACCUCUUUCAGUGGGGACGAAGUCUGUCUGGUUAAUAGCCAGUUCAGUUGACGGUACCUUCAGAAGAAGCCCCGGCUAACUACGUGCCAGCAGCCGCGGUAAUACGUAGGGGGCAAGCGUUGUCCGGAAUCAUUGGGCGUAAAGAGCGUGUAGGCGGCCUAAUAAGUCUGCUGUGAAAGUCCAGGGCUCAACCCUGGAAUGCCGGUGGAUACUGUUGGGCUUGAGUUCGGAAGAGGCGAGUGGAACUCCUGGUGUAGCGGUGAAAUGCGCAGAUAUCAGGAAGAACACCAAUAGCGAAGGCAGCUCGCUGGUACGACACUGACGCUGAGACGCGAAAGCGUGGGGAGCAAACAGG
Molecule: ribosomal RNA, 429 nt
Filed under: uncultured bacterium
Lineage: Bacteria
Description: bacterial SSU rRNA
Rfam family: Bacterial small subunit ribosomal RNA
Source: RNAcentral